Phasianus colchicus (ring-necked pheasant) is the source of this 543-nucleotide long non-coding RNA. RefSeq lists it as uncharacterized. NCBI's taxonomy places the organism in Eukaryota, Metazoa, Chordata, Aves, Galliformes, Phasianidae. The record is from RefSeq and is a predicted model, not a curated record.
AAUCAGACUCAAGUUUUCCUCUCCUUCGUGCCACGUAAAGCCAUUGAGCUCACUGGCAUUGUGAUGGCACACAUUAUGUUUAGUGGGAAGGUUCUGCAGUGGUGCUCAGGUAGCAGGAGCGUGCCUUCCAGGGAACUGCUGGCUCCUCUCAGCCCAGCAUCCCUACCAUGGCAUGGGGAAGCUUAGCCCAGAGGGACUCCCAGCCCAGUAGAUCCUACUGGUCCUACUGGCCCAGCACCAGGGCCAUCCUAUCUCUCAUCUCUUGCUUGGGAUAACAGCAAAGAAAGGCUUGAGAUGAAGCUAUCCAGAUCAUGAGGUGCUCAACUAUGACCCAACUGGAAAGAUCAUCAGGGUUCAGACCAGACUUCUACUGAUGUCUUUCAAUGAUAGGAUCUCCAGAGCCUUCCCAGUGGUUACCCAGCGGCUUCCAUCCACCCAGCACAGUGACAAUGUGCCCUACCCACAGACACACACUCACCCAGGACUUCUGCAGCAUGCAGGGAGUUGAGAAAGAAAAGGCAGAAAUAAACCCUUUAAGCUGGA